GUAGGUGAACCUGCGGAAGGAUCAUUAACGGACGAGGAAUUCAAUUUACUUGAAUUUCUUGGGAUCAACCAAAACCUGUAUGAUGAUGUAAAUUGUAUAUCGAUUAAUAAUCGUAUACGAAAAUAAUUUUAAUAAAAUACAAAACCCUCAACAACGGAUCUCUUGGUUCUG
RNAcentral lists this unclassified non-coding RNA (171 nucleotides) under rhizosphere metagenome. RNAcentral's name for it is "partial ribosomal RNA internal transcribed spacer region". The record is from RNAcentral.